AAACAAGCAUCAGGAGGCAGGGGCACUUAAGGGUGUUAGUGGUAAAAACCAACCAAAUGAAGAGAGUAGGAAUUCCAGAAAUUCCGUGUACGUGAAGGUGAAUAUGGAUGGAGUUCUCAUUGGACGAAAGGUUAACCUCAGUGCUCACAGUAGCUACGAAACCUUGGCCCAAACAAUUGAGAACAUGUUCCUUGAUCCCACUGCUCUGGUUGACUCA
Molecule: unclassified non-coding RNA, 217 nt
Filed under: Hevea brasiliensis (rubber tree)
Lineage: Eukaryota; Viridiplantae; Streptophyta; Magnoliopsida; Malpighiales; Euphorbiaceae
Source: RNAcentral